GACAGAGGGUGCAAACGUUGUUCGGAAUUACUGGGCGUAAAGCGCGUGUAGGCGGCUAAGUAAGUCGGGCGUGAAAUCCCACGGCUCAACCGUGGAAGUGCACUCGAAACUGCGUAGCUAGAGUCCUGGAGAGGAAAGUGGAAUGCUUGGUGUAGAGGUGAAAUUCGUAGAUAUCAAGCGGAACACCGGUGGCGAAGGCGGCCUUCUGGACAGUGACUGACGCUGAGACGCGAAAGCGUGGGGAGCAAACAGG
Molecule: ribosomal RNA, 253 nt
Filed under: uncultured bacterium
Lineage: Bacteria
Description: partial 16S ribosomal RNA
Rfam family: Bacterial small subunit ribosomal RNA
Source: RNAcentral